This is a non-coding RNA of Podarcis lilfordi (Lilford's wall lizard), 79 nucleotides long. NCBI's taxonomy places the organism in Eukaryota, Metazoa, Chordata, Lepidosauria, Squamata, Lacertidae. The record is from the annotation of a GenBank genome assembly.
GUGGCCCAGGAUAGCUCAGCUGGUUAGAGCUUGGUGCUGAUAAUGGUAAGGUCACAGGUUUGAUCCCCGUAUGGUUGCA